This is a small nuclear RNA of Cebus imitator (Panamanian white-faced capuchin), 102 nucleotides long. Lineage: Eukaryota; Metazoa; Chordata; Mammalia; Primates; Cebidae. The record is from Ensembl.
GUGCUCACUUCAACAGCAUAUUUGCUGAAAUGGGAGUGGUGCAGAGAUUAGCAUGGCCUGUGCAAGGAUGACACUCAAAUUCAUGAAGCACUCCAUCUUUUU